GUGCAACGAUUUUUCGUUGGCUGUUGCCCUGUCUAAAAAACAGGGAGAGUAAGGGCUGGGUAAGACGGGUGCCAGCCGCCGCGGUAAUACCCGCGGCCAAGUGGUGCUCGUUAUUAUUGGGUUUAAAACGUCCGUAGCCGGUCCAGUAAAUUCUUGGGUAAAUCGACUGGCCUAACCAGUCGAAUUCCGGGGAGACUGCUGGACUUGGGACCGGGGGAGGUCGGAGGUACUUCCAGGUAGGGGUGAAAUCCUGUAAUCCUGGGGGGACCACCAGUGGCGAAGGCGUCCGACCAGAACGGCUCCGACGGUAAGGGACGAAGCCCUGGGGCGCAAACGGGAUUAGAUACCCCGGUAGUCCAGGGUGUAAACGCUGCGGGCUUGGUGUCGGGGGUCCUAUGAGGGCGCUCGGUGCCGGAGUGAAAAUGUUAAGCCUGCUACCUGGGGAGUACGGUCGCAAGACUGAAACUUAAAGGAAUUUGGCGGGGGAGCACCGCAACGGGUGGAGCGUGCGGUUUAAUUUGGAUUCAACGCCGUAAAACUCACCGGGGGCGACGGUUAUAUGAAGGCCAAGCUGAUGACUUUGCUUAAUUUUCCGAGAGGUGGUGCAUGGCCGUCGUCAGUUCGUACCGUAAGGCGUUCUGUUAAGUCAGAUAACGAACAAGACCCCUACCGCCAAUUGCCACGUUGUCCUCCGGGACAGCAGCACAUUUGUCGGGACCGCUGGUGCUAAACCAGAGGAAGGAGGGGGCAACGAUAGGUCAGUAUGCCCCGAAUCCCCCGGGCUACACGCGCGCUACAAAGGCCAGGACAAUGGGCUCCUACCCCGAGAGGGGAAGGCAAUCCCGAAACCUGGUCAUAGUUCGGAUUGAGGGCUGUAACUCGCCCUCAUGAAGCUGAAUCCGUAUAAUCGCGACACAUUCCCGAAUCCCCC
RNAcentral lists this ribosomal RNA (931 nucleotides) under uncultured archaeon. RNAcentral describes it as "bacterial SSU rRNA". It matches the Rfam family "Archaeal small subunit ribosomal RNA", at positions 385 to 1328 of the family's 1478-position model. The record is from RNAcentral.